This 1250-nucleotide long non-coding RNA is filed under the name Oryctolagus cuniculus (rabbit). Its description in RNAcentral is "lncRNA (ENSOCUG00000039093.1)". The record is from RNAcentral. Lineage: Eukaryota; Metazoa; Chordata; Mammalia; Lagomorpha; Leporidae.
AGCCGGCGGCUGGGGAGUGAGCAGCAGACGUGCGAGGCUGCGUUCACGCGGGCGGGGGCCUGGGGCUCUUCGCGGCUCAGCGGCGUCCCCGCCCCGCGCAGGCAUCUUGUCGCCCAUGAAAAAGACGGAGAUGGACAAGUCGCCAUUCAACAGCCCCUCGCCCCAGGACUCGCCGCGCCUGUGCAGCUUCACGCAGCACCACUAGCCCGUGAUCGCCGUGCACAGCCGCAUCAUCCGGAGUCCGAACCCGUCCUCCGCCCUGCACUUCCCCACCACGUCCAUCCUGCAGCAGAUGGCGUCCACCUACUUCCCGCACACGGCCAUCCGCUACCCGCCGCAUCUCAACCCUCAGGACCCGCUCAAAGAUCUCAUGUCGCUGGCCUGCGACCCGGCCAGCCGGCAGCCUGGAUCGGUGAGUGCGGGGUGGCCGACGGGCGGCGGAGGGGGCGUAGCGCCGCGGGCAGGGGUCGGGGCGGCGGAGGGGCGCGGUGCCUAGGGCAGGGGUCCGCGGACAGGGUUCCGCGGGCAGCCACAGAUUCCACCUCCUUGGCUCCUGCCAGGCCCCCGCAGCGAUGCGCGUCCUGCCCUUGGGGUUUCGCGUUUGGGAGCUUCGCAUUUGGGAGUGGCGGGCGAGGUGGCACCCUGUGAACAGACAGGGAGGCGGGGUGCAGGGGUCCCAGCCCCCUGGACCUCCAGCCAGUCUCGGGCCUGCCCAACCCCCAUAGCCCUGCCGGCGUCUUGGUCCCUCCGAGGCCGCCCCCCACCCCUGCUCAGCUGGGGCACGCAGUGCUCCUCCCUUCCCCACAGGCUCUGGCCCUAGUCCAGCAGAAGGGGCAGCGCGCGUGUCCACUCCUCCCUCCUCCUCCCCCAGCACGUACUGGGCCCUUCCCCGUCUCCCCCCAACCUGCUAGGGGGAGCCGCCUCCCAGGAAGCCGGUGGGAAUUGGGGCUCCCCUGCAGGACCCGCGGUUUGCCCUCCAGAGAGCCCAGGGCCACGUGGUCAGGGCCAGAGGGGCCAAGGCGGGGGCAGCACCGGGGGCGCAGGGGUCUCAGGCCCCUGUGGGCAGCGGGAACUAGGAUCCGGACUUCACAGCGCUGGGGGCUCAGGGGGACGGAGCCCUGGGCCGGCCUGCGCCAUUCUGGGUGUUUUUAGGAUACAUUUAUAAUUUAUCUGAAAGGCAGAGUGGGGGGUGGAAAGAGAGGCGAGAGAGAGAGAGAGAGAGAGAGAGAGAGAGAGGUAGAGGUGUUUCG